Molecule: ribosomal RNA, 564 nt
Filed under: uncultured bacterium
Lineage: Bacteria
Description: partial 16S ribosomal RNA
Rfam family: Bacterial small subunit ribosomal RNA
Source: RNAcentral
UGGGGAAUAUUGCACAAUGGGCGAAAGCCUGAUGCAGCAACGCCGCGUGAGUGAUGAAGGCCUUCGGGUUGUAAAGCUCUGUCUUUUGGGACGAUAAUGACGGUACCAAAGGAGGAAGCCACGGCUAACUACGUGCCAGCAGCCGCGGUAAUACGUAGGUGGCAAGCGUUGUCCGGAUUUACUGGGCGUAAAGGAUGCGUAGGCGGAUUUUUAAGUGAGAUGUGAAAACCCUAAGCUUAACUUGGGGACUGCAUUUCAUACUGGAAAUCUAGAGUGCGGGAGAGGAGAAUGGAAUUCCUAGUGUAGCGGUGAAAUGCGUAGAGAUUAGGAAGAACACCAGUGGCGAAGGCGAUUCUCUGGACCGUAACUGACGCUGAGGCAUGAAAAGCGUGGGUAGCAAACAGGAUUAGAUACCCUGGUAGUCCACGCCGUAAACGAUGAGUACUAGGUGUAGGAGGUAUCGACCCCUUCUGUGCCGCAGUUAACACAAUAAGUACUCCGCCUGGGAAGUACGAUCGCAAGAUUAAAACUUAAAUGAAUUGACGGGGUCAUAGCUGUUUUCCU